CAUUUUCGUUUUUUUUCCCUCCCGAUUCAUUUGACGAUCUCCCUUGGCAUGGAGGCGCGCUGGAAAUCACCACAAACGCCUUCGGCAUUUGCCCGCGGUGUCGGGCUCGGAACGAGCUUUCCGAAACGUACUCACGGGCCCCGUGAGUCCAUCGGGAUCGAAAUUUAGGCACGUGAACGCAGAGACGCGCGGAUUACGUUUACUGAGAAAUUCUCUUUUUUGUAUUUCGUCGUAUGUAAGUAGCAUUCCGUUAACUGCGCGACGAGUCCUUGAGAGCGGGGAGUUGAACACUCCAGACACUUCUCGAGAGGAGAAAACGAUUCGCUUUCAAGUAAAUAUGCNACGCANGA
This 350-nucleotide unclassified non-coding RNA is filed under the name Melaleuca brongniartii. The record is from RNAcentral. Lineage: Eukaryota; Viridiplantae; Streptophyta; Magnoliopsida; Myrtales; Myrtaceae.